RNAcentral lists this ribosomal RNA (1519 nucleotides) under Salmonella enterica subsp. enterica serovar Anatum. RNAcentral's name for it is "partial 23S ribosomal RNA". It matches the Rfam family "Bacterial large subunit ribosomal RNA", at positions 1428 to 2925 of the family's 2925-position model. The record is from RNAcentral. Lineage: Bacteria; Pseudomonadati; Pseudomonadota; Gammaproteobacteria; Enterobacterales; Enterobacteriaceae.
GGUUAAUAUUCCCGUACUUGGUGUUACUGCGAAGGGGGGACGGAGAAGGCUAUGUUGGCCGGGCGACGGUUGUCCCGGUUUAAGCGUGUAGGUGUGUGUUCCAGGUAAAUCCGGUUCACUUUAACACUGAGGCGUGAUGACGAGGCACUACGGUGCUGAAGCAACAAAUGCCCUGCUUCCAGGAAAAGCCUCUAAGCAUCAGGUAACAUCAAAUCGUACCCCAAACCGACACAGGUGGUCAGGUAGAGAAUACCAAGGCGCUUGAGAGAACUCGGGUGAAGGAACUAGGCAAAAUGGUGCCGUAACUUCGGGAGAAGGCACGCUGACACGUAGGUGAAGUGAUUUACUCAUGGAGCUGAAGUCAGUCGAAGAUACCAGCUGGCUGCAACUGUUUAUUAAAAACACAGCACUGUGCAAACACGAAAGUGGACGUAUACGGUGUGACGCCUGCCCGGUGCCGGAAGGUUAAUUGAUGGGGUCAGCGCAAGCGAAGCUCCUGAUCGAAGCCCCGGUAAACGGCGGCCGUAACUAUAACGGUCCUAAGGUAGCGAAAUUCCUUGUCGGGUAAGUUCCGACCUGCACGAAUGGCGUAAUGAUGGCCAGGCUGUCUCCACCCGAGACUCAGUGAAAUUGAACUCGCUGUGAAGAUGCAGUGUACCCGCGGCAAGACGGAAAGACCCCGUGAACCUUUACUAUAGCUUGACACUGAACAUUGAGCCUUGAUGUGUAGGAUAGGUGGGAGGCUUUGAAGUGUGGACGCCAGUCUGCAUGGAGCCGACCUUGAAAUACCACCCUUUAAUGUUUGAUGUUCUAACGUGGACCCGUGAUCCGGGUUGCGGACAGUGUCUGGUGGGUAGUUUGACUGGGGCGGUCUCCUCCUAAAGAGUAACGGAGGAGCACGAAGGUUGGCUAAUCCUGGUCGGACAUCAGGAGGUUAGUGCAAUGGCAUAAGCCAGCUUGACUGCGAGCGUGACGGCGCGAGCAGGUGCGAAAGCAGGUCAUAGUGAUCCGGUGGUUCUGAAUGGAAGGGCCAUCGCUCAACGGAUAAAAGGUACUCCGGGGAUAACAGGCUGAUACCGCCCAAGAGUUCAUAUCGACGGCGGUGUUUGGCACCUCGAUGUCGGCUCAUCACAUCCUGGGGCUGAAGUAGGUCCCAAGGGUAUGGCUGUUCGCCAUUUAAAGUGGUACGCGAGCUGGGUUUAGAACGUCGUGAGACAGUUCGGUCCCUAUCUGCCGUGGGCGCUGGAGAACUGAGGGGGGCUGCUCCUAGUACGAGAGGACCGGAGUGGACGCAUCACUGGUGUUCGGGUUGUCAUGCCAAUGGCACUGCCCGGUAGCUAAAUGCGGAAGAGAUAAGUGCUGAAAGCAUCUAAGCACGAAACUUGCCCCGAGAUGAGUUCUCCCUGAGACUUAGAGUCUCCUGAAGGAACGUUGAAGACGACGACGUUGAUAGGCCGGGUGUGUAAGCGCAGCGAUGCGUUGAGCUAACCGGUACUAAUGAACCGUGAGGCUUAACCUU